Molecule: ribosomal RNA, 540 nt
Filed under: uncultured bacterium
Lineage: Bacteria
Description: bacterial SSU rRNA
Rfam family: Bacterial small subunit ribosomal RNA
Source: RNAcentral
AGAGUUUGAUCCUGGCUCAGGACGAACGCUGGCGGCGUGCCUAACACAUGCAAGUCGAACGGGGAUAAGUAGCUUGCUAUUUAUUCUAGUGGCGCACGGGUGAGUAACGCGUAGAUAAUCUGCCUUAGACUCUGGGAUAACAUCUCGAAAGGGGUGCUAAUACCGGAUAAGCCCACGGGGACGUGAGUUCUUGCGGGAAAAGGGGGCCUCUGCAUAUGCUCUUGAUCUAAGAUGAGUCUGCGUACCAUUAGCUUGUCGGUAGGGUAAUGGCCUACCAAGGCGACGAUGGUUAGCUGGUCUGAGAGGAUGAUCAGCCACACUGGGACUGAGGCACGGCCCAGACUCCUACGGGAGGCAGCAGUGGGGAAUUUUGCGCAAUGGGGGAAACCCUGACGCAGCAACGCCGCGUGAGUGAUGAAGGCUUUCGGGUCGUAAAGCUCUGUCUAGAGGGAGGAAGUGAUAUUCGGUUAAUACCCGGGUUUCUUGACGGUACCUCUGAAGGAAGCACCGGCUAACUCCGUGCCAGCAGCCGCGGUAAUA